GCGGGAGGUUGGCCCAAUUCAUAUAUGCACGUUGGCAGACAGGUUGUCCGAUUCGUAAGCGAGCAGUGAGCGCAAGGUCUACUAAUGUGAGAUAGCUCAUCAUAGGCACCCCCCAGCUUACAGUUUAUGCAUCAGUCUGGUACGCCAGUGUGUACUGUGAGCGCAUACGACUUUCACACAGUAAAGCAGCUAUGAGCAUGAAUACAGCUAAGCAUGCACGCCUGCUAUAGAAGAUUUCGGGUUGAUCGUGCCGGACCCUAUUGCUAUCGGGUGGGAGUAUACCAUGCUACUUCUGCGUCUUCAAGCUAUGGUGAGACGCGGCGUAUGGCUCAGUAACACGUGGCUAACCUAACCUUGGGACAGGGACAACCAUGGGAAACUGUGGCUAACACUAGAUGGACGAGAGUGCCUGGAAUGGUUUCUCGCGCAAAGUUCGUUGAGACCACGCUUCUCGACUCUGCCCAAGGAUGAGGCCGCGGCCGAUCAGGUUGUCGGUGGGGUAAUGGCUCACCAAGCCCAUAACCGGUACGUGCUGUGAGAGCGAGAGCCCGGAGAUGGGCAUUGAGAUAAGGUCCCAGGCCCUUCGGGGCGCAGCAGUUGCGAAAACUUCCCAAUGCGUGAAAGCGUGACGGGGCUACCCCGAGUCCUGUCCGCUGAGGAUAGCUUUUGUCUGGUGUAGGGACCCAGGGGAAUAAGGAGAGGGCAAGAGUGGUGUCAGCCGCCGCGGUAAUCCCAGCUCUCCGAGUGGUAGGGACGAUUAUUGGGCUUAAAGCGUUCGUAGCCGGCCCGGCAAGUCUCCCGUCAAAUCCAGCGGCUUAAUCGUUGGGCUGCGAGAGAUACUGUUGGCCUUGGGGGCGGGAGAGGCCGACGGUAUUCCCGGGGUAGGGGUGAAAUCCUGUAAUCCCGGGAGGACCACCAGUGGCGAAGGCUGUCGGCUAGAACGCGCCCGCCGGUGAGGGACGAAAGCUGGGGGAGCGAACCGGAUUAGAUACCCGGGUAGUCCCAGCUGUAAGCGAUGCUGGUUAGGUGUCGGAUUGGUUACGAACCACUCCGGUGCCGCAGGGAAGCCCUUAAGCCAGCCGCCUGGGAAGUACGGUCGCAAGGCAGAAACUUAAAGGAAUUGGCGGGGGAGCACCACAAGGGGUGAAGCUUGGGGUUCAAUUGGAUUCAACGCCGG
RNAcentral lists this ribosomal RNA (1177 nucleotides) under uncultured archaeon. RNAcentral describes it as "bacterial SSU rRNA". The stretch from base 235 to 1177 matches the Rfam family "Archaeal small subunit ribosomal RNA", at positions 1 to 921 of the family's 1478-position model. The record is from RNAcentral.